RNAcentral lists this ribosomal RNA (443 nucleotides) under uncultured bacterium. RNAcentral describes it as "partial 16S ribosomal RNA". It matches the Rfam family "Bacterial small subunit ribosomal RNA", at positions 338 to 795 of the family's 1533-position model. The record is from RNAcentral.
CCUACGAGAGGCUGCAGUGGGGAAUAUUGGACAAUGGGGGGAACCCUGAUCCAGCGACGCCGCGUGAGUGAAGAAGUAUUUCGGUAUGUAAAGCUCUAUCAGCAUGGAAGAAAGAAAUGACGGUACCUGACUAAGAAGCCCCGGCUAACUACGUGCCAGCAGCCGCGGUAAUACGUAGGGGGCAAGCGUUAUCCGGAUUUACUGGGUGUAAAGGGAGCGUAGACGGCGAUGCAAGUCUGAAGUGAAAGGCGGUGGCCCAACCUCCGGACUGCUUUGGAAACUGUAUGGCUGGAGUGCAGGAGAGGUAAGUGGAAUUCCUAGUGUAGCGGUGAAAUGCGUAGAUAUUAGGAGGAACACCAGUGGCGAAGGCGGCUUACUGGACUGUAACUGACGUUGAGGCUCGAAAGCGUGGGGAGCAAACAGGAUUAGAUACCCUUGUAGUC